Molecule: ribosomal RNA, 411 nt
Filed under: uncultured eukaryote
Lineage: Eukaryota
Description: eukaryotic LSU rRNA
Rfam family: Eukaryotic large subunit ribosomal RNA
Source: RNAcentral
AUCGGGCGAGAACACCCGGCGAAUUUAAGCAUAUUACUAACCGGAGGAAAAGAAACCAACAGGGACGUCCUCAGUAGCGGCGAGCGAAGCGGACGAUGCCCAAACCGAACCGCGGUUCCCGAGGGGCCGCGGAGUGUGGAGAGGAUGAGCUCGCGAGGGGGGCGGGACGGGUUCCAAUCCGUCUGGAAGGGCGGAGGCACGGAGGGCGAUUCCCCGUACGUGCUCGGUCCGUCCCCGACGAGCGAACGCAUCGGAGAGUCGGGCCGCUUGAGAGUGCAGCCCGAAUGGGGUGAUAGGUCUCAUCCAAGGCUAAGUACGUGGGAGACGCCGAUAGCGAACAAGUACGGCGACGGAAAGGUGAAAAGAACCUCGAAAGGGGGGGUCAAAAAGCGCUCGAAAUCGUAGAGGGGG